GUGUCAGCCGCCGCGGUAAUACGAAGGUGGCAAGCGUUACUCGGAAUUACUAGGCGUAAAGCGUAGGUAGGUGGUUUGGUCAGUCUACUGUGAAAGCUCCCGGCUUAACCGGGAGAGGUCAGUGGAUACUACCAGACUUGAGUGUAGGAGAGGGUACUGGAAUUCCCGGAGUAGCGGUGAAAUGCGCAGAGAUCGGGAGGAACACCAAAGGCGAAAGCAGGUACCUGGACUAUUACUGACACUGAGCUACGAAAGCUAGGGGAGCAAACAGGAUUAGAUACCCUGGUAGUCCUAGCCGUAAACGAUGCACAUUAGACGUGAGAGGUAUCGACCCCUUUCGUGUCGCAGCAAACGCAUUAAAUGUGCCGCCUGGGGAGUACGACCGCAAGGUUGAAACUCAAAGGAAUUGACGGGGGCCCGCACAAGCGGUGGAGCAUGUGGUUUAAUUCGACGCAACGCGAAGAACCUUAUCCUGGGUUUGAACAGUAAGAAGUAGGCCUAUCGAAAGACUGGCCGACCCGUAAAGUCGGGAGCUUAUAGAGGUGCUGCAUGGCUGUCGUCAGCUCGUGUCGUGAGAUGUUGGGUUAAGUCCCGCAACGAGCGCAACCCCUAUCCUAUGUUGCCAGCACGUUAUGGUGGGGACUCGUAGGAGACUGCCGGGGUCAACUCGGAGGAAGGUGGGGACGACGUCAAGUCAUCAUGCCCCUUAUAUCCAGGGCUGCAAACAUGCUACAAUGGCCGGUACAAAGGGCUGCCAUACCGCGAGGUUGAGCGAAUCCCACAAAGCCGGUCUCAGUUCGGAUUGGAGUCUGCAACUCGACUCCAUGAAGCCGGAGUCGCUAGUAAUCCCGGAUCAGCAACGCCGGGGUGAAUACGUUCCCGGGCCUUGCACACACUGCCCGUC
Molecule: ribosomal RNA, 904 nt
Filed under: uncultured bacterium
Lineage: Bacteria
Description: bacterial SSU rRNA
Rfam family: Bacterial small subunit ribosomal RNA
Source: RNAcentral